UACUCUAAGCGGUGGAUCACUCGGCUCAUGGGUCGAU
This 37-nucleotide ribosomal RNA is filed under the name Bactrocera aquilonis. Its description in RNAcentral is "partial 5.8S ribosomal RNA". The record is from RNAcentral. Lineage: Eukaryota; Metazoa; Arthropoda; Insecta; Diptera; Tephritidae.